RNAcentral lists this ribosomal RNA (555 nucleotides) under Microbotryum violaceum. RNAcentral's name for it is "LSU rRNA". It matches the Rfam family "Eukaryotic large subunit ribosomal RNA", at positions 71 to 629 of the family's 3401-position model. Lineage: Eukaryota; Fungi; Basidiomycota; Microbotryomycetes; Microbotryales; Microbotryaceae. The record is from RNAcentral.
ACGCCAUCCUAAGUACGGCGAGUGAAGCGGGAAAAGCUCAAAUUUGUAAUCUGGCGCCUUGGGCGUCCGAGUUGUAAUCUCGAGAAGUAUUUUCCGCGCUGGACCGCACAUAAGUCUGUUGGAAUACAGCGUCAUAGUGGUGAGAACCCCGUAUAGGGUGCGGAUGCCCAGUGCUUUGUGAUAUACUUUCGAAGAGUCGAGUUGUUUGGGAAUGCAGCUCAAAUUGGGUGGUAAAUUCCAUCUAAAGCUAAAUAUUGGCGAGAGACCGAUAGCGAACAAGUACCGUGAGGGAAAGAUGAAAAGCACUUUGGAAAGAGAGUUAACAGUACGUGAAAUUGUUGGAAGGGAAACGCUUGAAGUCAGACUUGCAUUUUGGAGUUCAGCCGCAAGGUGUAUUCUUCAAUUCGCAGGCCAGCAUCAGUUUUUGGGGGUGGAAAAGCGCGGUUCGAAGGUAGCAGUCUCGGCUGUGUUAUAGCUUGCCGCUGGAUUCACUUUUGGGGACUGAGGAACGCAGUACACUUUUUGCAAGAUUCUCGGAUCUUUCGUACUUAGGAU